Molecule: small RNA, 26 nt
Filed under: Bombyx mori (domestic silkworm)
Lineage: Eukaryota; Metazoa; Arthropoda; Insecta; Lepidoptera; Bombycidae
Description: ovarian small RNA-15990
Source: RNAcentral
GAGUCGGGUGACCACGACUUUAGGAC